CUGAAUAAAAGCUCUCGGACAAGAUAUCAUCAUUGAACUUUUUUGACUUGUUGAAAGAGAUCAAGUACCUUUUCUUUGUUUGAAUCUCGGUAACUCCAGUAAUUCCGUCUCAGACCAUCUGCAGGAAUACAAUAUUCUUUCUCAGACAUUCAAGAAAUGAACAUAACUGCCCCUCAGGCCUUUAUAGAAUAAAAAUCUGCAAUUUUAAUAACUUCCUUGUGGCAUUUUCACAUUUGGUAAGCCACCAUGGCGAAUCUCCACAGUUUUGACGUUCCUCAGAGACUUCUCUCCAUGCUGACCAAAGCUGCAGGUGUUUUUGUUCUCCUGGCUGUCUUCAUUCUGGAAUACAUAUUGAACUUGAACUUUCCAUGCUUCUGCAGGCCUGCAUGGGAAAGCCCACUACAUAUAGGCCCUCAUGGCUUACUGUACAUACUGUGCCCACCCACUAUAAUAACUUGUGCUAUCAUGCUAGUUGAUAAGAUGUACCAGAAGACGUUUUCCAGCAAGAGAUGCAGUGGGUGCUGCACAAAUUAUAACUGCUGCAAUUGCUUCUUUUCACUUACCAAACUUGGGAUCACAUUUCUGUCUGUAGUAUUCUACUGGAUAGCUGCUGUUUUCAUAGAUGGAGAAUGGUAUGUGUGCUAUCAGACCAACAACCAUCCAAAACAAGUUGGAAUUCCCUGUAAAGAAACGGAAAACCUGACCUAUGACGAGAGACUUGUCCUCACUGAUUACAAGACUGACUCAGUUGUCAUUGGCUUGCCUCUGGUUACCUUGGGCCUUGUUUUCUGGCACAUGUGUGAGUGCUGCUUCACCUGUCUCAAAAGAACAAACAACCGCUGCCAUCUUAAUCAACCAUAUUAUGAAAGGUUGUAUGAAGAAAUUCUUUCAGAGGAGGUGAACAAUCAUUUGAAGAAUGAACUGCAGGAAAUUGCGAAAGAGAGGGCCGAGAGGAUCUGUCUUCGGCCCCUUCAGUUCAUCAGGAGAGGGGAUCCUGGGAAUUCAUGGCAAGAUAUUUCAAACUCUGAUUUCUUUUUGUCAGACCAAUAUCAGGAGUCAGUGGGCACAGAAGAGUCAUAGGUUACUGAAGACUCAGCCCAGUGCGUGUUAAGAUUUUUAAAAGAUAUAAAAAAUCAUAAAAAAUGAAUUUUCCGGAUGUUGAAAAUGUCUUUUACAUACAUGGAAUAACAUUCAUUUUCAGUUCUAAAUGAAACUUGAAAUGACGUCUUCUACAGACAUUGAAAAUAUAUGUUUGUUGGCAAAAAAAAUUCUAUAGCCAAAUUUCAAUCGUACAUAGUUUUUCCCUUUAAAUAUUACUGAAGAAAGCCUUAUGUCACGCUCAAAAGUUUUAUUUUCAAUAACAUAAUGAAUAUUGCAGUAUAGAAUAUUUUAUUAUUCACAUUUAUCACUCGCACUUAUGUUAGUCUUUUCGAAAGCUUCAGGACUGAAAGUAAUCAUAUUCAACAUUUCCUGACACAACCAACAGAACAUACACUACCACAACAUUCUCAGUAACAGUUACAAAAACGUUUUACUUGCUAUGAUUCUGAUAUGUGGUUGAAUGCACUGACUCUGGAUAAGAAUGUCUGCUGAAUUACCUAAAUGUAGAAAUGAACACUUGUGAUUGAGACCCCAUCCUCAGUAGCCUUUUCCAGCGUUUACUUCUUACGUUGUUACAAGUUACAUCAACUUUCCUUCUUAAUUCACUCAGUAACGUUAUGGGAAAAGGAUUAUAGACAUCUGUUUCACAAGUUUGGACAGCACAGACCAGUAUAGCACAAUAUAGUACAUUAUACUGUGCUCUACUUUACCAUACUGUAGUGUACUGAGCUGUACUCUACUCAACUAUACUCUACUUUACUUUAAUGUACUGCACUGUCCAAACUUGUGAAACAUAUGUCUAUGAUAAUGUUAUGUACUGUGCUCUGCUCUGCUGUACUGUGCUGUCCAAACCUGUGAAAUGGAGGUCUAUGAAUGCUUCAGAUCUAGACCAAAUAUGAACCAAUCAUAGACCUCUGUUUUGGCUAAAUAAAAGCCAGCCUGGACCAGACCAAAUCUGAACCGAAAAGGGGCCAAAUCAAGGCCUGUCCUAACCGUACCAAAAAUAUGACGUCUGUGAACGUUGGCCAAAUCAAGGCCAGGGUGGAACAACCAAAUUCCAACUACUUUUCAAUGUCCAUGGACGUCCGGCAUCGGUUGGUGCUCAGUGGGAGAAGAGUGUAAGGGUUUUAUUCAAAAAGAUACUUAGUCAGGUUCUUCUUGGUUAGCAUUUCUUGUGCUGCAAUAACCAUUCUGAUUCAAGCUUAAUAAACUAUGUUUAUACAGCAUUAAAGAUAAACUUUAAUCAAUACAUAAUUGUAGAGUAAAUACUGCCACUUAGAGGAGAUAAAUAGCUAAUGUGUUAAAACAGGUAAUGUAGGAACAGAAGUGCCAAGUUCAAGUGUUGCUGUCCGUCUUUAUUCAUGUGACACACUAAUAACCGUGUUAUAUAUUAUUAGAAAGGCUCUCAAGGUGUUUGGGAAAAUUGUUAUAUGACCAAUACUGUAGCAUGCUACUCUGCUUAUUCCGCUGCUCUGCUUAUUCCGCUACUCUGCUUAUUCCGCUGCUCUGCUUAUUCCGCUGCUCUGCUUAUUCCGCUGCUCUGCUUAUUCCGCUGCUCUGCUUAUUCCGCUACUCUGCUUAUUCCGCUGCUCUGCUUAUUCCCCACUGGUGAUUAUUUCAAAGAUCUCAAUGACAUUACAUUUAGACAACACUGUCACUGAUGUAAAACCUACUGGCUAGAAAAAGUAUGUGAACCCGUUGGAAUUACCUGGAUUUCUGCAUAAAUUGGUCCUAAAAUUUGAUCUGAUCUUUUUCAAGUCACGACUUUUUUAAGUCACAACAAUAGAAAAACAGUGUGCUUAAACUAAUAAGCCACUGCUGUCCAAAAAAAAACAUUGCUGCACAUCUGAAGUUCGCAAAAGAGUUCCAUAGUGCAACUGGCAAAAUAUUCUGUGGGCAGAUGAAACUUAAGUUGAGUUGUUUUUAAGGAACACUAUGUAAAGUAUGGUGGAGGGAGCAUCAUGGUCUGGGGCUGCUUUGCUGCCUCAGGGCCUGCACAGCUUGCUAUCAUCAACGGAAACUUGGGAAUACAUUUUUAUCAAGACAUUUUGUAGGAGAAUGUAAGGUGGUCUGUCUGCCAAUUGAAACUCAACAGAAGUUGGGUGAUGCAACAGGACAACAACCCAAAACACAGAAGUAAAUCAACAACAGAAUGGCUUCAACAGAAGAAAAUACGCCUCCUGGAGUGGCCCAGUCAGUCCUGACCUCAAACCGAUUGAGAUGCUGUGGUAUGACCUCGAGCGGUUCACACCAGACAUCCCAAGAAUAUUGCUGAGCUGAAACCGUAUUCGACAGAGGAACAGUCCAAAAUUCCUCCUGAUCGUUGUGCAGGUCUGUUCCGCAACUACAGAAAAUAUUUGGUUGAAGUUAUUGCUGUCAAAGGAGGGUCAACCAGUUAUUAAAUCCAAGGGUUCACAUGCUUUCCCUAACCUGCACUAUGAAUGUUUACAUGGCGUCUUUAUUAAACACAUGAAAACGUAUCAUUGUUUGUGUGUUAUCAGUUAAUUAAGAACUGUGUUUGUCUAUUGUUGUGAUUUCGAUGAAGAUCAGAAAUUUGAUGACCAAUUUAUGCAGAAAUCCAGGUAAUUCCAAAGGGUUCACAUACUUCUUCUUGCCACUGUAUGUACUUUGGAAAUUACUUUGUAUCAUCAUAAUCCUACCAUUUUAUUACCAAAUGUUUUGAUAAACCAUAAUGUGUUUUUGUAUUGAUUUUAAGGUUGCUUAGUCAAAAAUAAAAUUGCAAUAAGGUU
Oncorhynchus nerka (sockeye salmon) is the source of this 3851-nucleotide long non-coding RNA. RefSeq lists it as uncharacterized. The record is from RefSeq and is a predicted model, not a curated record. NCBI's taxonomy places the organism in Eukaryota, Metazoa, Chordata, Actinopteri, Salmoniformes, Salmonidae. The transcript is spliced from 2 exons.